UACAGAGGUCCCAAGCGUUGUUCGGAUUUACUGGGCGUAAAGGGUGCGUAGGUGGCUAGGUAAGUCUGACGUGAAAUCCCACAGCUUAACUGUGGGACUGCGUCGGAUACUAUCAAGCUAGAGGUAUGGAGGGGAGAUUGGAAUGCUCGGUGUAGCAGUGAAAUGCGUAGAUAUCGAGCGGAACACCAGUGGCGAAGGCGAAUCUCUGGACACUACCUGACACUGAGGCACGAAAGCCAGGGGAGCAAACGGG
RNAcentral lists this ribosomal RNA (253 nucleotides) under uncultured prokaryote. Its description in RNAcentral is "partial 16S ribosomal RNA". It matches the Rfam family "Bacterial small subunit ribosomal RNA", at positions 524 to 776 of the family's 1533-position model. The record is from RNAcentral.